GACGGACGCUGGCGGCGUGCUUAACACAUGCAAGUCGAACGAAGCUUGAUUACGGAUUCUUCGGAUGAAGUAUGAUAUGACUGAGUGGCGGACGGGUGAGUAACGCGUGAGUAACCUGCCCUUCAGAGGGGGAUAGCGUUUGGAAACGAACGGUAAUACCGCAUAAUGUAUUUUGACCGCAUGAUCGAAAUACCAAAGAUUUAUCGCUGAAGGAUGGACUCGCGUCUGAUUAGGUAGUUGGUGGGGUAACGGCCUACCAAGCCGACGAUCAGUAGCCGGACUGAGAGGUUGAGCGGCCACAUUGGGACUGAGACACGGCCCAGACUCCUACGGGAGGCAGCAGUGGGGAAUAUUGCACAAUGGGCGCAAGCCUGAUGCAGCAACGCCGCGUGAAGGAAGACGGUUUUCGGAUUGUAAACUUCUGUUCUUAGUGAAGAAUAAUGACGGUAGCUAAGGAGCAAGCCACGGCUAACUACGUG
RNAcentral lists this ribosomal RNA (479 nucleotides) under uncultured bacterium. RNAcentral describes it as "partial 16S ribosomal RNA". It matches the Rfam family "Bacterial small subunit ribosomal RNA", at positions 28 to 507 of the family's 1533-position model. The record is from RNAcentral.